UACUACGGCCAUGCCAUCCUGAACGUGCCCAAUCUGUCGGAUCUCGGAAGCUAAGCAGGGUCGGGCCUGGUUAGUACUUAGAUGGGAGACCACUUAGGAAGACCAGAUGCUGUAGGCA
Molecule: ribosomal RNA, 118 nt
Filed under: Pteropus alecto (black flying fox)
Lineage: Eukaryota; Metazoa; Chordata; Mammalia; Chiroptera; Pteropodidae
Source: RNAcentral